GCUAACGCGUUAAGUAGACCGCCUGGGGAGUACGGCCGCAAGGUUAAAACUCAAAUGAAUUGACGGGGGCCCGCACAAGCGGUGGAGCAUGUGGUUUAAUUCGAUGCAACGCGAAGAACCUUACCUGGUCUUGACAUCCACAGAAGAAUCCAGAGAUGGAUUGGUGCCUUCGGGAACUGUGAGACAGGUGCUGCAUGGCUGUCGUCAGCUCGUGUUGUGAAAUGUUGGGUUAAGUCCCGCAACGAGCGCAACCCUUAUCCUUUGUUGCCAGCGAUUAGGUCGGGAACUCAAAGGAGACUGCCAGUGAUAAACUGGAGGAAGGUGGGGAUGACGUCAAGUCAUCAUGGCCCUUACGACCAGGGCUACACACGUGCUACAAUGGCGCAUACAAAGAGAAGCGACCUCGCGAGAGCAAGCGGACCUCAUAAAGUGCGUCGUAGUCCGGAUUGGAGUCUGCAACUCGACUCCAUGAAGUCGGAAUCGCUAGUAAUCGUGGAUCAGAAUGCCACGGUGAAUACGUUCCCGGGCCUUGUACACACCGCCCGUCACACCAUGGGAGUGGGUUGCAAAAGAAGUAGGUA
This 581-nucleotide ribosomal RNA is filed under the name Salmonella enterica subsp. enterica. RNAcentral describes it as "bacterial SSU rRNA". It matches the Rfam family "Bacterial small subunit ribosomal RNA", at positions 851 to 1432 of the family's 1533-position model. The record is from RNAcentral. Lineage: Bacteria; Pseudomonadati; Pseudomonadota; Gammaproteobacteria; Enterobacterales; Enterobacteriaceae.